Long non-coding RNA from Athalia rosae (coleseed sawfly), 544 nucleotides. RefSeq lists it as uncharacterized. The transcript is spliced from 3 exons. NCBI's taxonomy places the organism in Eukaryota, Metazoa, Arthropoda, Insecta, Hymenoptera, Athaliidae. The record is from RefSeq and is a predicted model, not a curated record.
UCUGAAAGUUGACCGACUUAUCAAGUCUGGAAAUGAAGUAUUUGUCAAUAGCUAGUCAAAUACCAUAAGUCGUUGAUUUCAGAUACGGACUAUUUUGUCUACACCUUUUACAUACCAGCCAUUGAUAGGUACUGCCUGUCUGAACAUAUUGUUAUUGCUAGUGGUCAACUUAGUUGACCAAUACAUGGAGAAACAAGCUUAUGUAGCUGCGAAUUGGCAUUGUCUCUAAAGGCUCAUACGAAUAAAUUUUUUUUCAAAGAUAUCCAUGAUUGCUACAAACGUGACACCUCAUAGAGACGAAGCUAUGGAAAUGGUCUUACUACUUCAAAGUCAUUUAUAAAUUACUGUGAUCUGUGGUAAGGUAAACUUAUGUCAAAAUUUGAGAGGAUUUGACACUCUUGAAAGGAUGAAGUAAGAUGAUUUGAUGCACUUCAAAUUGAAAAUGUGAUAAAACACGAAGCUACAUUCCACAUGAUGGAGACCUACUCAUAUUCGGAUUUGUGUCCGAAGCAAUGAUUGAAUUAUAAAACUAAUUUCCAACAGA